UGCCAAUUACUACUGCCCUCCCCACACCCAACCCAUCUUCUUUUGUAAACAUAAUUUGACCAUGCCUAGGCAUGAUUCCAGAAAGCCUGAAACUCCAAAAAAAACUUGCAAAGAAGAUAAUUAGUCACAGAUAAUUUAAUUGCUGGGGAUGCAACACGAUAUAAUAACAUUCUGCGAUGAUAUUUCUAAAAAUCUUCUUUACACAAUUUGAAACAAGCAAUUUAACGAGUAUUCAAUUCAGUUUUUUCAUCUCAAUACAAAGGGAAAGUCAAGCCAGCUUCCCCUUUUGAUGCAAUUCACUGGAACCAGCAGUAACAACUAAAAUACAUAUCAUAGCAGUUGAAUUCAUGAGUAUGGAUUGAUCAUAUCACCACGUUCAUUAGCCUUCCUCUCCAAACUCCUUUGUGAAUCUCUCAUGAACCUCUAAAUCAGCUUUGCUCACAGUUGGCCUUUGCCUUGCAAGGACCUUAUCAAAAUCCGUUUUUGUGAUAGGAGGGGGAAGGAUCUGGGCUGCUAGUCCUUGUGCUGCCAGUUCCUGCAUGGUAAUUUGGACAGCACCCGGUUGCUUUGGUCCACAUGGCACCCACAUGCCAUUAGGAGUCUCGACGAAAAACAUGGCAUCCUGUGUUUUACGAACAGGUUCAAAGAGGACAUCCUUGACACAAACAGAAAUAUCUGAACCCGAAAAACCCUCAGUCUUGCGAGCUAAGACUUCAAAAUCACUUUCGGUCAAGUUGUGAGGGGUAUCUCCAAGAUGCACUUUGAACAUGUGCUGCCGAGCCUUCAAAUCUGGGAGAGGAAUAUAUAUACGCUUGUCAAAACGUCGCCUGAUGGCCUGUAAUCACUAAGAUUAGCACCAGAGCCAAAUAGUCUCAGAAUUCAACAUUAAAUUGAAAAAGUCCUUUGAUAAUAUCCUUACCUGAUCUAGGGCAUAUGGUGUGUUCGUUGCUGCAAGAACAAGAACUUUCUGGUCAUUGUUACCUACACCCUGCAUCUGCACAAGUAGUUCUGUCUUGAUACGUCUUGAAGCUUCACUCUCAUUACCUUCACCACGCUGGCCACACAAGGAAUCUAUCUCAUCAAUAAAAAUAAUUGAAGGAGCACUUUCACGUGCCAUCUGGAAAAGAUUUGACACAAGCUUUUCACUCUCACCCAUCCACUUAGAAACCAGGUCUGAAGAAGAUAUACUGAAAAAAGUCGAGUCGGCCUCAGUUGCAACUGCCUUGGCUAAGUAAGACUUCCCAGUUCCUGGUGGCCCAUACAAAAGAAAAGCUCUCCAAGGUCGUCUCUUCCCUAAAAGAAAGAGCAAAUGAAGCAAAUAACAGGAUUAACAGAAUAAAGCUAGUCAAGAUUUUAUUUCAAAAUGUAAAUAGAGAAGUUACAACGUUGUCAAAAACAGAAUAGCUGCAAAAAUGACUAAAUUCCAUCUCCUAACCCAUGGAUUACAUAAAAGAACAGUAAAAGUAUAGCAAUAACAACUACAAGAGACCUUCAUUAUGCCUUCAUUCUAACUGUUUUGUGUGCCAAUUAAGAACGUUAGAUAUCCAAAUUCCAAAAACCUUGCCCAAAUAUAUGGAACAUGACAGCGUAUGUAUGCCACUAUUCCCAUUUACAACCUCAAGAGUCCAGAUAAAAUAGUGCUGCCAAGACAGUUCCCAAACAUGAUGAGCAGAGAAACAUUUUUGUAGAGGAAAAAGUUCAACUAGUUUACCUAAGGCAAACCCAGAAGUUCUCAAAUGAUUUUCUCAUUUGCAAUAUCCUGGCGCAUAAUAAACUCAAUAGACUCGAAACAGCAAAACAAAACUACAGAGUAGGAAAAUUAGCAAAAUUGCUACGACAACAAGAGAUUCACAAAUCAUGUAUCAAAAAUCAUUUUGGAGGCGGUACAAUACAACCAACUAUUAUAAAACCGCACAAUGUCACAACUAUCAACCAAUUUCAAUCUCUACCAUUAAUCUAUUUGCUUCAUGAAACCAAGGUGAAAAUACCAAACGUACAGAACAAGAGCAAAAAACCCAGAGGAAAAAAGUUGGGGUAGGAGCAAAAAUCACCUGUAAAGAAUUGGGGGAACUUAACAGGCAAAAUAACAGCUUCCUGUAACGCCUGUUUCGCACUCUCAAGUCCAGCCACAUCAUUCCACUUAAUGUUUGGCUUCUCCCUAAUAAUCGCAGAAUUCAACCCAGAUCUCAAUUUGGCCUGUUCCGGAUCCUCACCAUCUUCUCCAUCUUUGGGCUUGGUCUUGGGGCGGGUAGCAACAGCGGCAUCACCAUUGGAGGCAGGCCCAGGUCCACCUUCAUCGAGAACAGCCCGGAUCUCCUCAGCCCGACGAAGAUACUCGGUGAAUUUCUGGGUUAUAGCUUCGCGAAUCUUAGGGUUCUUCUCGUACUUCAAAUGGGUCUUGAAAUACUCGAGCGCGUUCAUAUACAAAGGGAAGGCUUUAGCAUAGUUACCUGCAUUAUCUUCUUGUACGGCUUGCCUUACGUACUCUAUAGCUUGCUCCUUAAAAUUGCUAUACAUCCUAAUCGAAGUUUCUGAUCAAUCAACAGAAGAUCGCAUAUGAGAUUUUUGGGGAGAAAUCAGAAACCCUAAAAUUUUUUUCCCAGUUUUGGAUUGAUUAAUUGAUAAUAAUUUGAUGAUGGGUUUCAAAAUUAGAGAGGAAGAAAGGGAUUUUGCAAGAAAAGAUUGGAAAUUGGAAAAUUGUGGAUUAAGGCUAAGGAGGAGGCAUUUCAAAGGAAUCAAAGCUUGUGAGGGGGACUGUGAAGACGAAAGCUCUAACUUCUAAUGAAAGUGGG
Molecule: unclassified non-coding RNA, 2792 nt
Filed under: Hevea brasiliensis (rubber tree)
Lineage: Eukaryota; Viridiplantae; Streptophyta; Magnoliopsida; Malpighiales; Euphorbiaceae
Source: RNAcentral